Molecule: transfer RNA, 72 nt
Filed under: Monodelphis domestica (gray short-tailed opossum)
Lineage: Eukaryota; Metazoa; Chordata; Mammalia; Didelphimorphia; Didelphidae
Rfam family: tRNA
About the family: Transfer RNA (tRNA) molecules are approximately 80 nucleotides in length. Their secondary structure includes four short double-helical elements and three loops (D, anti-codon, and T loops). Further hydrogen bonds mediate the characteristic L-shaped molecular structure. tRNAs have two regions of fundamental functional importance: the anti-codon, which is responsible for specific mRNA codon recognition, and the 3' end, to which the tRNAs corresponding amino acid is attached (by aminoacyl-tRNA synthetases). tRNAs cope with the degeneracy of the genetic code in two manners: having more than one tRNA (with a specific anti-codon) for a particular amino acid; and 'wobble' base-pairing, i.e. permitting non-standard base-pairing at the 3rd anti-codon position.
Source: Rfam by way of RNAcentral
CCCGCUUUGGCACAGUUGGCAGUGCAUCAGUCUUGCAAGCUGAAGGUCCAGAGUUCCAUCUUCGAAAGGGGG